RNAcentral lists this ribosomal RNA (450 nucleotides) under uncultured bacterium. RNAcentral's name for it is "partial 16S ribosomal RNA". It matches the Rfam family "Bacterial small subunit ribosomal RNA", at positions 329 to 793 of the family's 1533-position model. The record is from RNAcentral.
GCCCAGACUCCUACGGGAGGCAGCAGCGGGGGAUAUUGCACAAUGGGGGGAACCCUGAUGCAGCGACGCCGCGUGGGUGAAGGAGCGUUUCGGCGCGUAAAGCCCUAUCGGCAGGGAAGAAGGAGGACGGUACCUGACUAAGAAGCCCCGGCUAACUACGUGCCAGCAGCCGCGGGAAUACGUAGGGGGCAAGCGUUAUCCGGAUUUACUGGGUGUAAAGGGAGCGUAGACGGCAGAGAAAGUCUGAAGUGAAAGCCCGCGGCUCAACCGCGGAACUGCUUUGGAAACUUUUCGGCUAGAGUACCGGAGAGGUAAGCGGAAUUCCUAGUGUAGCGGCGAAAUGCGUAGAUAUUAGGAGGAACACCAGUGGCGAAGGCGGCUUGCUGGACGGUAACUGACGUUGAGGCUCGAAAGCGUGGGGAGCAAACAGGAUUAGAUACCCCCGUACCG